AACGCUAGCUACAGGCUUAACACAUGCAAGUCGAGGGGAAACGACAUCGAAAGCUUGCUUUUGAUGGGCGUCGACCGGCGCACGGGUGAGUAACGCGUAUCCAACCUGCCCACCACUUGGGGAUAACCUUGCGAAAGUAAGACUAAUACCCAAUGAUAUCUCUAGAAGACAUCUGAAAGGGAUUAAAGAUUUAUCGGUGAUGGAUGGGGAUGCGUCUGAUUAGCUUGUUGGCGGGGUAACGGCCCACCAAGGCGACGAUCAGUAGGGGUUCUGAGAGGAAGGUCCCCCACAUUGGAACUGAGACACGGUCCAAACUCCUACGGGAGGCAGCAGUGAGGAAUAUUGGUCAAUGGGCGAGAGCCUGAACCAGCCAAGUAGCGUGCAGGAUGACGGCCCUAUGGGUUGUAAACUGCUUUUAUAAGGGAAUAAAGUGAGCCUCGUGAGGCUUUUUGCAUGUACCUUAUGAAUAAGGACCGGCUAAUUCCGUGCCAGCAGCCGCGGUAAUACGGAAGGUCCGGGCGUUAUCCGGAUUUAUUGGGUUUAAAGGGAGCGUAGGCCGGAGAUUAAGCGUGUUGUGAAAUGUAGGUGCUCAACAUCUGCACUGCAGCGCGAACUGGUUUCCUUGAGUACGCACAAAGUGGGCGGAAUUCGUGGUGUAGCGGUGAAAUGCUUAGAUAUCACGAAGAACUCCGAUUG
This 696-nucleotide ribosomal RNA is filed under the name uncultured bacterium. Its description in RNAcentral is "bacterial SSU rRNA". It matches the Rfam family "Bacterial small subunit ribosomal RNA", at positions 32 to 715 of the family's 1533-position model. The record is from RNAcentral.